UACGGAGGGUGCGAGCGUUGUCCGGAAUCACUGGGCGUAAAGCGCUCGCAGGUGGUUCGAUGCGUCGUGCGUGAAAGACCCCGGCUCAACUGGGGAGGGUCGUGCGAUACGGUCGAACUGGAGGCCAGUAGGGGGAUGCGGAAUUCCGGGUGUAGUGGUGGAAUGCGUAGAGAUCCGGAGGAACACCAGCGGCGAAGGCGGCAUCCUGGACUGGUCCUGACACUCAUGAGCGAAAGCGUGGGGAGCGAUCCGG
RNAcentral lists this ribosomal RNA (253 nucleotides) under uncultured bacterium. RNAcentral describes it as "partial 16S ribosomal RNA". It matches the Rfam family "Bacterial small subunit ribosomal RNA", at positions 524 to 776 of the family's 1533-position model. The record is from RNAcentral.